CUAACGGCACUUCUGGGUGCCACAAAUCUAUACUUAAAACUAUUCU
This is a non-coding RNA of Parastrongyloides trichosuri, 46 nucleotides long. Lineage: Eukaryota; Metazoa; Nematoda; Chromadorea; Rhabditida; Strongyloididae. The record is from Rfam.